CCUACGGGUGGCAGCAGUAGGGAAUAUUGCACAAUGGGGGAAACCCUGAUGCAGCAACGCCGCGUGGGUGAAGAAGUACUUCGGAUUGUAAAGCCCUGUCAGCAGGGAAGAUAAUGACGGUAUCUAACCAAUAAGCCCCGGCUAACUCCGUGCCAGCAGCCGCGGUAAUACGGAGGGGGCAAGCGUUAUCCGGAUUGACUGGGUGUAAAGGGAGCGUAGACGGCAAGGCAAGUCUGGAGUGAAAGCCCGUGGCUCAACCACGGGACUGCUUUGGAAACUGUGUUGCUGGAGUGCAGGAGGGGUAAGCGGAAUUCCUAGUGUAGGGGUAAAAUGCGUAGAUAUUAGGAGGAAUACCGGUGGCGAAGGCGGCUUACUGGACCGUAACUGACGUUGAGGCUCGAAGGCGUGGGGAGCAAACAGGAUUAGAUACCCGAGUAGUC
This 440-nucleotide ribosomal RNA is filed under the name uncultured bacterium. Its description in RNAcentral is "partial 16S ribosomal RNA". It matches the Rfam family "Bacterial small subunit ribosomal RNA", at positions 338 to 795 of the family's 1533-position model. The record is from RNAcentral.